GACGAACGCUGGCGGCGUGCCUAAUACAUGCAAGUCGAGCGCAGGAAAUCAUCCGAACCCUUCGGGGGGACGUUGAUGGAAUGAGCGGCGGACGGGUGAGUAACACGUAAAGAACCUGCCCUCAGGUCUGGGAUAACCACGAGAAAUCGGGGCUAAUACCGGAUGGGUCAUCGGACCGCAUGGUCCGAGGAUGAAAGGCGCUGCGGCGUCGCCUGGGGAUGGCUUUGCGGUGCAUUAGCUAGUUGGUGGGGUAAUGGCCCACCAAGGCGACGAUGCAUAGCCGACCUGAGAGGGUGAUCGGCCACACUGGGACUGAGACACGGCCCAGACUCCUACGGGAGGCAGCAGUAGGGAAUCUUCCACAAUGGACGAAAGUUUGAUGGAGCAACGCCGCGUGAACGAUGAAGGCCUUCGGGUCGUAAAGUUCUGUUGUAAGGGAAGAACAAGUGCCGCAGGCAAUGGCGGCACCUUGACGGUACCUUGCGAGAAAGCCACGGCUAACUACGUGCCAGCCGCCGCCGUAA
This 524-nucleotide ribosomal RNA is filed under the name uncultured bacterium. RNAcentral describes it as "partial 16S ribosomal RNA". It matches the Rfam family "Bacterial small subunit ribosomal RNA", at positions 28 to 523 of the family's 1533-position model. The record is from RNAcentral.